CCAUUCCAUUGUCGAAGCUGAAGUUGUAGAUCCUCCUGAAAAUAAGUCCUGCAUAUAUUUAUAUAUAUCCAACUGAACUAUUAGUAGCAGAACUAAGAUAGAACUAUAAAGAAAUUAAAUUCACUAAGACUAUAUUAAAAACAAUUAUAAGGUUCAAUAACAAUCAUUGUUUCUUAUGACUCAGUCCCAAAUAAGUUGGGAUCAGCUAUAUGAAUUUUCAUGUCGAU
RNAcentral lists this long non-coding RNA (227 nucleotides) under Nicotiana benthamiana. RNAcentral describes it as "long non-coding RNA (NBEN_LNC000799)". The record is from RNAcentral. Lineage: Eukaryota; Viridiplantae; Streptophyta; Magnoliopsida; Solanales; Solanaceae.